This 215-nucleotide long non-coding RNA is filed under the name Taeniopygia guttata (zebra finch). RNAcentral describes it as "lncRNA (ENSTGUG00000028170.1)". The record is from RNAcentral. Lineage: Eukaryota; Metazoa; Chordata; Aves; Passeriformes; Estrildidae.
GUAAUUGGAUUUCAGGGUUAACCAGCUUGCAGCAAAAAUAGAAAAGAACAGAAAGCCAUUGGAUAUUUCUGUUCUGGCUCAUCAGACACUGGAAGUUUAUCUCUGCUGAGAAUAGCACAGAAGAGGGCCUGCCUAAGGAUGGGUGAAGAAUCUGCUGAUGAGGACUCUAAUCAGUUUUGAGAGCAGGUGUGCCUUCCUAUCUCGCUCAUCUCUAG